This 301-nucleotide ribosomal RNA is filed under the name uncultured bacterium. Its description in RNAcentral is "partial 16S ribosomal RNA". It matches the Rfam family "Bacterial small subunit ribosomal RNA", at positions 509 to 807 of the family's 1533-position model. The record is from RNAcentral.
CAGUAGCCACGGUAAUACGAAGGGUGCAAGCGUUACUCGGAAUUACUGGGCGUAAAGCGUGCGUAGGUGGUGGUUUAAGUCCGUUGUGAAAGCCCUGGGCUCAACCUGGGAAUUGCAGUGGAUACUGGGUCACUAGAGUGUGGUAGAGGAUAGUGGAAUUUCCGGUGUAGCAGUGAAAUGCGUAGAGAUCGGAAGGAACAUCUGUGGCGAAGGCGACUAUCUGGACCAACACUGACACUGAGGCACGAAAGCGUGGGGAGCAAACAGGAUUAGAUACCCCGGUAGUCCCUGUCUCUUAUAC